RNAcentral lists this ribosomal RNA (332 nucleotides) under uncultured Symbiodinium. Its description in RNAcentral is "partial Bacterial large subunit ribosomal RNA". It matches the Rfam family "Bacterial large subunit ribosomal RNA", at positions 2582 to 2912 of the family's 2925-position model. The record is from RNAcentral. Lineage: Eukaryota; Dinophyceae; Suessiales; Symbiodiniaceae.
CGCCAAUUAAAGCGGUACGCGAGCUGGGUUCAGACCGACGUGAGUCAGGUCGGUCCCUAUCUUCCGUGGGCGCAGCAAAUGUGACAGGAGACAACUUUAGUACGAGAGGAUUGGGUUGUAGGUACCGCUGGUGCACCUGUUGUCCUGCAUAAGGGCAGCGCAGGGUAGCUAAGUACCGAAAGGAUAAACGCUGAAAGCAUCUAAGCGUGAAGCCCCCCUGAAGAUAACAUUUGCACGCUAUUUAUAGCGAGAGACCCCUCGUAGACCACGAGGUUGAUAGGCUGGAGGUGUAAGUGCAGAGAUGCAUUGAGCUGACCAGUACUAACGGUCGA